UCCGGCCUCGUGCCCGCCAUUGGGGUUGUAGUCCCAGGUUAGGUCUGUUUAUCUCCUCAGGUUCGGGAGCGCGGGUCAGGAUUGUGGUAACUGACGCUGAAGACGCGAGCAGCGGCGCUGUCCUCGCCGUACACAGUUGAGCCCGGGUGUCCGCUCCCCUCCGGCCCGCUGCCGGCCCACCGAGUCCGAUGGCGGCGGCCGUGCCCAAGGACCCGUCUGAGUGUGGUGUGACCUUUGAGGACGUGGCCGUGUACUUCUCCUGGAAGGAGUGGAGGCUUCUUGAUGAGGCUCAGAGACGGCUGUACCACCAUGUGAUGCUGGAGAACUUUGCACUUGUAUCGUCACUGGGUUGCUGCUGUGGAGCAGAGGAUGAGGAGGCCCCCUUUGCACAGAGCGCUUCUGUAGGCGUGUCCCAGACCGGGACGCCCAGGGCCUCUCUGUCUUCCCGGAAGACCCACCCCUGUGAGAUGUGUGGUCCCGUCUUGAGAGACAUUUUCCACUUGGCUGAGCUCCAGGGGAAAGAAAACGGCCAGAAACAGUUGAGGUGUGGGGCCUGCGGGAAACGAUUUUCUUUCAGUGUGAAGUUGGAGCAGCAGCAGGAGCAGCCCGCGGGAGCAAAACCAUUCAGAAGCCGUGUGGACAGGGCCUCUGCUGUCAAGAGCUGGGGAUCCGGUGGUUCGGGAAAGCCCUUUACCUGUGGAGAGGUGGAGAAGGACUUGCUGUCUGGCUCGGGGCAUCUUGGGCAAGAGGCCACUCGUACUGGGGAGAAGCCACACACGAUCCCCCGGUGCAGGGCAACGUUACGACACGGAAGCAGUCAUGGCACUUGGGGCGGAUGCAAGAACACCUUUGUUCCCAAACACACAGAUACUCGGGACCAGGGUGUCCACCUUGGUAGAGAGUCCUUUGUGUGCAGUGAAUGUGGGAAAACUUUCAGGUACAAAUCCUUAUUUGCCAUACACCAGAGAUACCAUACUGGAGCACGACAUCAUGAGUUUGGUCCAUGUGGGAAAUCCUUUGGGCAACAACCAACCCUGAAUCAACAUGGGAAGACUCAGGGUGGAUCCAGGCAGUACACGUGCAGCAAAUGUGGGAAAUCCUUAGGGCCUGCAUCUGUCUUCCUUCAUCCCCAAAAAUGGCACAGUGGAGGGGAGAGUUAUGUUUGCAGCGGGUGUGCAAAAUCUGUUAGCGGUAGCUCAGUGUUGCUUACUCAUAGUGUCCAGUCUGGAGAUCGGUUGUAUAAGUGUCAUGGCUGUGCAAAAGCUUUCCCGUCUAUGUCUGCCCUCUCAGAUCAUGAGAGAUCUCAUGCAGGGCAAAGGCGGUAUGAGUGCAGUGAUUGUGGGAAAUCUGUUACCAGUAGUUCUGGCCUCCGUUCUCACCAGAGAGUUCACACUGGAGAAAGGCCUUAUAAAUGCAAUGAAUGUGGGAAAUCUUUUGCUGGUAGUUCUUCACUACGUUAUCACCAGACAAUUCACAGUGGAAUUAGGCCUUAUGAGUGCAGUGAAUGUGGGAAAUCUUUUGCUGGUAGUUUUGUCUUACGUUAUCAUCAGAGAGUUCACACUGGUGAAAGGCCUUAUGCGUGCAGUGAAUGUGGCAAAUCCUUUAUCCGAAAAACUAGCCUCAGUGUACACAUAAAAGUUCACUCAGGUGAAAGGCCUUAUGAAUGUAGUGUAUGUGGGAAAAAUUUUACUGCUAGUUCUGCCCUCCUUCAUCAUCAGAGAGUUCAUACUGGAGAACGGCCAUUUGAGUGCCGUGAAUGUGGGAAAUCUUACACUGCUCGUUCUGCCCUCCGUUCUCACCAGAGACUUCACACAGGAGAAAGGCCUUAUGAGUGUCGUGAAUGUGGGAAAUCUUUUACUUUUAGUUCUGCCCUAUCUUCUCACCGGAGACUUCAUACUGGGCAAAGGCGUUAUGAGUGCUAUGAAUGUGGGAAAUCUUACACUGCUAGUUCUACCCUCCGUUCGCACCAGAGACUUCACACUGGAGAACGUCCUUACGAGUGCCGUGAAUGUGGGAAAUCUUUUACUAGUAGUUCUGCCCUCCGUUAUCACCAGAGACUUCACACUGGAGAACGUCCUUAUGAGUGCCAUGAGUGUGGGAAAUCUUUUAUCACUAGUAAUCAACGUCGUUCUCACCAGAGAGUUCACAGUGGAGAGAGGCCUUAUGAAUGCCCUGAAUGUGGCAAAUCCUUUCCCCGAAAAGGUAGCCUCAGUAUACACAAAAUGGUUCACUCAGGUGACCGGCCUUAUGAGUGUAAUGAAUGUGGGAAAUCAUUUAUUGCUAGUUCUGCCCUCCGUCGUCACCAGAGAGUCCACACUGGAGAAAGGCCUUAUGAGUGCCAUGAAUGUGGGAAAUCAUUUACUGCUAGUUCUGCCCUCCGUUAUCACCAGAGACUUCAUACUGGACAAAAGCCUUAUGAGUGCCGUGUAUGUGGGAAAUCUUUUAUCACUAGUAAUCAACAUCGUGCUCACCAGAGUGUUCACAGUGGUGAGAGGCCUUAUGAGUGCAGUGAAUGUGGCAAAUCCUUUCCCCGAAAAGAUAGCCUCAGUGUACACAAAAAGGUUCACUCAGGUAAACGGCCUUAUGAGUGUAGUGAAUGUGGGAAAUCAUUUACUGCUAGUUCUGCCCUCCAUCGUCACCAGAGACGUCACACUGGAGAAAGGCCUUAGAGUGCCGUGAAUAUGGGAAAUCUUUUUAUGAGUCAUAAUGGUUUGAGACAUCAUUACAGCCUUUACACUGCAGAAGGAUCUAAAACAGCACAGGUGAUACUUCUUGCUUGGCGUUUAGGCUGGAGGACAACCUCUGAAUUGACUGUGGUUCCCCUGAAUGUCCCCAGUGCAGUGACUUCCCAUAAGAUCCAGCCAUUUUCAGAAAAAUUCAGAACCUGCAUAGUGCUUUCUGAUGUGGGUGCAGUCACCGCAAGAUGGAAGUCACUGGCAGUGUCUGUGGCAGUGUCUGGCACCUGGCAGUUCUCGGUGUGCAUACGUCUCCACCCCAACAUGGUUAAUGAUGCCGAGCUGUUCACGUUCUCGACUGUUCAUCCAAAUUCUGGGUUCCUGGAACCCCUCGUCCCGUUCCCAGUUAGGGCAUGGAUGUGACUCGUGUUGAUCCACAGUGGGCGAUGUGAGUUCUGGGUGGUGACUCACACAGGAAGGCUAAGUCCCACGGGGGUGUUGCUGGUCUCCUGAUGCUUUGAUGACUAUUUGCAGCGUCCAGGUCACCACACAGGAAUUGUGUGCCCCAUGUUGCUCUGAUUAAUGUAUCAGUAAGUGCCAUGUUUGUUUAAUUACCUUUGAUCUUAGACAUUGUGUGCCCUCGAAGGGGUGGUUUGAAAGCAGCAUCGGGCUCUCCCACAUGAAGGAAUGAGCAGAUCGCAUUCCAUCCCAUACUUGCUGUGUCUCUGAGAGGAAAAUUGCUAAUAAAUAUUGUACAUAUAUAUAUAUAUAUAUGUGUGUGUGUGUGUGUGUGUGUGUGUAUAUAUAUAAAUACUCCAGCUUGUGUGUUCAUUUGCAUUAUAACCAAAGACCUUGGUGAUGUGCUGAAUUUUACAGUCUCAGAUGUGUCAGAGAAGUGUGAGUCAUGGAAUAACUAGGGAGCUGGACGGCAAAGCUUGGGACAGUAGGGAAAGUUUCCGAUGGAGGGUUUGAAAAGUGAUAGCUGUGAUGUGGACCCGGGUGGAGAUUUGGAUCACAUUUCAGAACGGAACACAGGGUAUAAUGACAAAGCUGCUAGUAGGUUCAGUAUCCUACUACGUUGUGUGGAAGAAUGGUUGUCUUGGGCAGCAUGUGGUGGUGGUUGACGGGCAUUGUCACCAUGGGUGAAAGAGAGAGAAAGAUCUGGCCGAUGAUGGCCAAGGUUGCUUGGGAUGAUUGGAAGAGAUGGCUGAGGACAAAGAAAAUUGAGACAAGAUGACAGUGAGACUGGGGCUGUUCUCUCUUCCAUGUUCUAGGGCUUCCGCAGAAUUUUGUGGUCAGUUUUUACGGUGUCUGGGGUGUUUCUGAGUCUUCGUGCCAGAAAAGGUCUGGGGCAAAUGUGAUUUGUGGUUCUGUGUGCCUGGCAGGGAGAUCCUCAGUGCUAGGGUUUUCACAGAGGUUCAGUAGAGGAUGGUUGGUUCCUGAUUGUCGAGGGCCAGCAUGGGCAGCAUAGAAGUAGAAGACGGUGUAGGAGCAUCCUAGGUUGACAGUGAUUGUGAGUGUCGUACUGCAGGGAGGAUUAGAGACAGGCGAGGAGGGUUCUCAGCACCAUUUGAGGCUUUCCCUCAGUUGGGAUCCAUGGGAGUACUGGGGUGGUAGUGGAACCUGUUUGUGUUUGUCACACAUCCCUUGGUUGGCAUGUGACAGGUACAAGUGUGAGUUAACAGAGAAUCCAUUGGUGUGGGGUAGGAAGGUAUGGGCGUUCAUCUAUGGGGUGUGAGGAUGUGAGAAAUGUACAGUCUACGGAAUCAGGUACACCUGGAGAGGAAUUGUGAGCUAAGGGCCUCAGGACCUUGGUAUUGAGACUUCCUGGCAGAGCAGGGCCUAUAAUUGGCUGUGCUGAGGGCUCGCCCUGGGAGACUCCAUGAUAAUAUCGUGGCAGGAGGAUGGGACUUGCAGGCCAAACCCAGAGCUUAGCUUGCUUCCAUGCUUCCCCUGCGUGUUAUUGCUGAGCACUGAACAGUGAUUGGUGGGAAGGUGAGAGCAGAGCAGCAUUAGAGGCACCAGGACCUGGUGUUUAUCUGAGGAGGGGAGCUGGGCUGGCAGGGGAGACUGGGCUGGAUGUGUAGGGGUUUCAAGUGUAAGUUCUCAGAGAAUGUUCAUGGUUUCCUCUCUUCCUUUUCGGCAGAGUGGUGUGACAUUUGAGGACAUUGUCGUAUACUUCUGUCCUUUUUCAGUUUCAGAGAUGGCACAAUGGAGAGAACUGUUAUGUUCGCAGUGGCUGUGCAAAAUAUCUUAACCGUAGCUCAGUGUUGAUUACUAAGAGCAUUCAACCUGGAGAAAGGCCUUCUAAGUGUAGUGACUGUUCCAAAUCUUUUACCUCUAUGUCUGCCUCCCAUUAUCACUGGAGAUCUCAGAGAGGGGAAAUACCUUAUGUGUGCAGUGAAUGUUGGAAAUCUUUUAUCACCAGGACUGACUUCCUUUCUCACUAGAAUUUACACUGAAUAAAGGCCCUAUGUGUGCAGUGACUGUGGAAGGUCCCUUUGCCAGAGAAACAACCCCAGUAUACACCUAAAGUUUCACUGAGGAGAAUGACCUUUUAAGUGUAAUGAUUGUAGGAAAUGUGUUAUUUUUUAAAAGAUUUAUUUAGGGGUGCCUUGGUGGCUCAGUGGGUUA
Molecule: RNA transcript, 5309 nt
Organism: Lutra lutra (Eurasian river otter)
Lineage: Eukaryota; Metazoa; Chordata; Mammalia; Carnivora; Mustelidae
Gene name: zinc finger protein 345-like
Exons: 4
Source: RefSeq, a predicted model, not a curated record